Molecule: ribosomal RNA, 357 nt
Filed under: uncultured eukaryote
Lineage: Eukaryota
Description: SSU rRNA
Rfam family: Eukaryotic small subunit ribosomal RNA
Source: RNAcentral
CCAGCAGCCGCGGUAAUUCCAGCUCCAAUAGCGUAUAUUAAAGUUGUUGCAGUUAAAAAGCUCGUAGUUGGAUUUCUAGAUAAGUGGGUACUUGUACUUUGCUUGUCUACCAGUCAUAGACUGUUACUGUGAGAAAAUUAGAGUGUUUCAAGCAGGCUUACGCUUGAAUACAUUAGCAUGGAAUAAUGGAAUAGGACUUUUGUCCAUUUGGUUGGUUAUUGGACAUGAGUAAUGAUUAAAAGGGACAGUUGGGGGCAUUAGUAUUUAAUAGUCAGAGGUGAAAUUCUUGGAUUUAUUAAAGACUAACUUAUGCGAAAGCAUUUGCCAAGGAUGUUUUCAUUAAUCAAGAACGAAAGU